GGAAUAUUGGUCAAUGGAGGCAACUCUGAACCAGCCAUGCCGCGUGCAGGAAGACGGUCCUAUGGAUUGUAAACUGCUUUUAUACAGGAAUAAACCUAUCCUCGUGAGGAUAGCUGAAGGUACUGUAGGAAUAAGGAUCGGCUAACUCCGUGCCAGCAGCCGCGGUAAUACGGAGGAUCCAAGCGUUAUCCGGAAUCAUUGGGUUUAAAGGGUUCGUAGGCGGUUUAAUAAGUCAGUGGUGAAAUCUCCUAGCUUAACUAGGAAAUGGCCAUUGAUACUGUUAGACUUGAAUUAUUGGGAAGUAACUAGAAUAUGUAGUGUAGCGGUGAAAUGCUUAGAUAUUACAUGGAAUACCAAUUGCGAAGGCAGGUUACUAUCAAUACAUUGACGCUGAUGAACGAAAGCGUGGGUAGCGAACAGGAUUAGAUACCCCAG
This 435-nucleotide ribosomal RNA is filed under the name uncultured Myroides sp. RNAcentral describes it as "bacterial SSU rRNA". It matches the Rfam family "Bacterial small subunit ribosomal RNA", at positions 358 to 790 of the family's 1533-position model. The record is from RNAcentral. Lineage: Bacteria; Pseudomonadati; Bacteroidota; Flavobacteriia; Flavobacteriales; Flavobacteriaceae.